Molecule: ribosomal RNA, 285 nt
Filed under: Carphophis amoenus
Lineage: Eukaryota; Metazoa; Chordata; Lepidosauria; Squamata; Dipsadidae
Description: partial 12S ribosomal RNA
Source: RNAcentral
AAAGACUUGACGGUACUUCACAACAACCUAGAGGAGCCUGUCUAAUAACCGAUACUCCACGAUUAACCCAACCCCCCCUAGCCUAACAGUCUAUAUACCGCCGUCGCCAGCUUACCUUGUGAAAGAAACAAAGUGAGCUCAAUAGACACCCCAAACACGACAGGUCGAGGUGUAACUAAUGGGGGGGAUAGGAUGGGCUACAUUUUCUAAUAUAGAAAAUACGAAUAGACUAUGAAACUAGAAACUGAAGGCGGAUUUAGCAGUAUGAUAAGGACAAAAUACUUA